This 69-nucleotide transfer RNA is filed under the name Proechimys quadruplicatus (Napo spiny rat). Its description in RNAcentral is "tRNA-Glu". It matches the Rfam family "tRNA". From Rfam's summary of the family: Transfer RNA (tRNA) molecules are approximately 80 nucleotides in length. Lineage: Eukaryota; Metazoa; Chordata; Mammalia; Rodentia; Echimyidae. RNAcentral also lists the same sequence under 3 other names. The record is from RNAcentral.
GUUCUUAUAGUUGAAUUACAACGAUGGUUUUUCAUAUCAUUGGUCGUGGUUAAAUUCCAUGUGGGAAUU